Molecule: ribosomal RNA, 1355 nt
Filed under: uncultured bacterium
Lineage: Bacteria
Description: bacterial SSU rRNA
Rfam family: Bacterial small subunit ribosomal RNA
Source: RNAcentral
AUUGAACGCUGGCGGCAGGCCUAAGACAUGCAAGUCGAGCGAGAAAGCCCUUCGGGGUGAGUACAGCGGCGGACGGGUGAGUAACGCGUAGGAAUCUACCCAGUAGUGGGGGACAACUAGUGGAAACGCUAGCUAAUACCGCAUACGCCCUAAGGGGGAAAGCGGGGGAUCUUCGGACCUCGUGCUAUUGGAUGAGCCUGCGUAAGAUUAGCUUGUUGGUGAGGUAAUGGCUCACCAAGGCUACGAUCUUUAGCUGGUCUGAGAGGAUGAUCAGCCACACCGGGACUGAGACACGGCCCGGACUCCUACGGGAGGCAGCAGUCGGGAAUAUUGCGCAAUGGGGGAAACCCUGACGCAGCCAUGCCGCGUGUGUGAAGAAGGCCCUAGGGUUGUAAAGCACUUUCAAUUGGGAGGAAAAGCUAAUGGUUAAUAGCCAUUAGCCCUGACGUUACCUUUAGAAGAAGCACCGGCUAACUCCGUGCCAGCAGCCGCGGUAAUACGGAGGGUGCAAGCGUUAAUCGGAAUUACUGGGCGUAAAGCGCGCGUAGGCGGCUCUUUAAGUCGGAUGUGAAAGCCCCGGGCUCAACCUGGGAACUGCAUCCGAUACUGGAGGGCCAGAGUGUAGGAGAGGGAGGUAGAAUUCCAUGUGUAGCAGUGAAAUGCGUAGAUAUAUGGAGGAAUACCAGUGGCGAAGGCGGCCUCCUGGCUUAACACUGACGCUGAGGUGCGAAAGCGUGGGGAGCAAACGGGAUUAGAUACCCCGGUAGUCCACGCCGUAAACGAUGUCUACUAGCUGUAGGGGUACUUGAGACCUUUGUAGCGCAGCUAACGCACUAAGUAGACCGCCUGGGGAGUACGGCCGCAAGGUUAAAACUCAAAUGAAUUGACGGGGGCCCGCACAAGCAGUGGAGCAUGUGGUUUAAUUCGAUGCAACGCGAAGAACCUUACCAGGCCUUGACAUCCCCGGAACUUUCUAGAGAUAGAUUGGUGCCUUCGGGAACCGGGUGACAGGUGCUGCAUGGCUGUCGUCAGCUCGUGUCGUGAGAUGUUGGGUUAAGUCCCGUAACGAGCGCAACCCUUGUCCUUAGUUGCCAGCACAUAAUGGUGGGAACUCUAAGGAGACUGCCGGUGACAAACCGGAGGAAGGUGGGGACGACGUCAAGUCAUCAUGGCCCUUACGGCCUGGGCUACACACGUGCUACAAUGGCUAGGACAGACGGCUGCAAACCAGCGAUGGGGAGCUAAUCCGACAAACCUAGUCGUAGUCCGGAUUGGAGUCUGCAACUCGACUCCAUGAAGUCGGAAUUGCUAGUAAUCGCGAAUCAGAAUGUCGCGGUGAAUACGUUCCCGGGCCU